RNAcentral lists this ribosomal RNA (392 nucleotides) under uncultured bacterium. Its description in RNAcentral is "bacterial SSU rRNA". It matches the Rfam family "Bacterial small subunit ribosomal RNA", at positions 335 to 719 of the family's 1533-position model. The record is from RNAcentral.
ACUCCUACGGGAGGCAGCAGUGGGGAAUAUUGCACAAUGGGGAAACCCUGAUGCAGCCAUGCCGCGUGUGUGAAGAAGGCCUUCGGUUGUAAAGCACUUUCAGUAGGGAGGAAGGUAGUGUAGUUAACACCUGCACUAUUUGACGUUACCUACAGAAGAAGCACCGGCUAACUCCGUGCCAGCAGCCGCGGUAAUACGGAGGGGUGCGAGCGUUAAUCGGAAUUACUGGGCGUAAAGCGCAUGCAGGCGGCCUGUUAAGUCAGAUGUGAAAGCCCGGGGGCUUAACCUCGGAAUUGCAUUUGAAACUGGCAGGCUAGAGUCUUGUAGAGGGGGUAGGAAUUUCAGGUGUAGCGGUGAAAUGCGUAGAGAUCUGAAGGAAUACCAGUGGCGAA